GGCGGCAUGGCUAAGACAUGCAAGUCGAACGGACCAUAUAAUUGGGUAACCGAAAGUAUGGUUAGUGGCGAAAGGGUGAGGAAUAGAUAGGAACGUACCCUGUGCUCUGGGAUAGCGUCUGAAGCUUCGGCUUCUUCCGAAAGGGGCGGUAAUACCAGAUAAUGUCCUUCGGGACCAAAGAUUUAUCGGCAUUGGAGCGGCCUAUCUCCUAUCAGCUUGUUGGUGAGGUAACGGCUCACCAAGGCAACGACGGGUAGCGGGACUGAGAGGUUGGCCCGCCACAUCGGGACUGAGACACUGCCCGGACCUCCACGGAGGGCUGCAGUAACGGAUAUUGGGCAAUGGGCGAAAGCCUGACCCAGCAAUGCCGCGUGCAGGAUGAAGCCCCUAGGGGUGUAAACUGCUGUCAGGGGUCAGAAAGCUGGUUUCGGCCAGUUGAUCAACCCCAGAGGAAGUCACGGCUAACUUCGUGCCAGCAGCCGCGGUAAUACGAAGGUGGCAAGCGUUAUUCGGAAUCAUUGGGCUUAAAGGGCACGCAGGCGGAACAGUGUGUGUAGUGUGAAAUCCCCCGGCUUAACCGGGGAAUUGCACAGCAAACUGCUGUUCUUGAGGCAGGUAGGGGUGCAUGGAACUCUUGGUGGAAGCGGUGGAAUGCGUAGAUAUCAAGAGGAACGCCAGAGGUGAAGACGGUGCACUGGGCCUGUCCUGACGCUGAGGUGCGAAAGCGUGGGGAGCGAACGGGAUUAGAUACCCCGGUAGUCCACGCCGUAAACGAUGUCUACUAGGUCGUGGGUGUUCUGACACAUUCACGGCCGGAGCAAAAGUGUUUAGUAGACCGCCUGGGGAGUACGGCCGCAAGGUUAAAACUCAAAUGAAUUGACGGGGGCUCACACAAGCGGUGGAGCAUGUGGAUUAAUUCGAAGCAACGCGCAGAACCUUACCUGGGUUUGACAUGCUUGUAUGCCUUCUCUGAAAGGAGUUAGGUUGCCUUCGGGUGAAACUUGCACAGGUGCUGCAUGGCUGUCGUCAGCUCGUGUCGUGAGAUGUCGGGUUAAGUCCUUUAACGAGCGAAACCCUUGCCGUUAGUUGCCAGCGAGUAAUGUCGGGGACUCUAACGGGACUGCCGGUGUUAAACCGGAGGAAGGUGGGGAUGACGUCAAGUCCUCAUGGCCUUUAUGCCCAGGGCUUCACACGUGCUACAAUGGCAAUUACAGAGCGACGCGAUACCGCGAGGUGGAGCAAAUCGCAAAAAAAUUGCCUCAGUUCGGAUUGCAGGCUGGCAAUUCGCCUGCAUGAAGUCGGAAUCGCUAGUAAUCGCGUAUCAGCAAUGACGCGGUGAAUGUGUUCCUGAGCCUUGUACACACCGCCCGUCAAGUGAUGGAAGCACGGGAGUACCACGAAGUCAGGGUUGCUAACCUUUGGGAGGCGCCUGCCGACGGUAAG
Molecule: ribosomal RNA, 1443 nt
Filed under: uncultured organism
Description: bacterial SSU rRNA
Rfam family: Bacterial small subunit ribosomal RNA
Source: RNAcentral